GUGGGGAAUAUUGGGCAAUGGGCGAAAGCCUGACCCAGCAACGCCGCGUGAAGGAAGAAGGUCUUCGGAUCGUAAACUUCUAUCCUUGGUGAAAAUAAUGAUGGUAGCCGAGAAGGAAGCCCCGGCUAACUACGUGCCAGCAGCCGCGGUAAUACGUAGGGGGCAAGCGUUGUCCGGAAUGAUUGGGCGUAAAGGGCGCGUAGGCGGCCUGGUAAGUUCGGAGUGAAAGUCCUGCUUUUAAGGUGGGAAUUGCUUUGAAAACUGCUGGGCUUGAGUGCAGGAGAGGUAAGUGGAAUUCCCGGUGUAGCGGUGAAAUGCGUAGAGAUCGGGAGGAACACCAGUGGCGAAGGCGACUUACUGGACUGUGACUGACGCUGAGGCGCGAAAGUGUGGGGAGCAAACAGGAUUAGAUACCCUAGUAGUCC
This 425-nucleotide ribosomal RNA is filed under the name uncultured bacterium. Its description in RNAcentral is "partial 16S ribosomal RNA". It matches the Rfam family "Bacterial small subunit ribosomal RNA", at positions 354 to 796 of the family's 1533-position model. The record is from RNAcentral.